RNAcentral lists this ribosomal RNA (435 nucleotides) under uncultured bacterium. Its description in RNAcentral is "bacterial SSU rRNA". It matches the Rfam family "Bacterial small subunit ribosomal RNA", at positions 957 to 1391 of the family's 1533-position model. The record is from RNAcentral.
GAACGCGAAGAACCUUACCAGGCCUUGACAUGUCCAGUUUGAUCGCCAGAGAUGGCUUUCUUCACCUCGGGUGGCUGGAACACAGGUGCUGCAUGGCUGUCGUCAGCUCGUGUCGUGAGAUGUUGGGUUAAGUCCCGCAACGAGCGCAACCUCGUCUUAGUUGCCAGCACGUAAUGGUGGGAACUUAAGGAAACUGCCUGUGAUAAGCAGGAGGAAGGUGGGGACGACGUCAAGUCAUCAUGGCCCUUACGGCCUGGGCUACACACGUGCUACAAUGGCGAUGACAAUGGGUUGCAACCUCGCGAGGGGAAGCUAAUCUCAAAAAGCCGUCUCAGUUCGGAUUGUACUCUGCAACUCGAGUGCAUGAAGUUGGAAUCGCUAGUAAUCGUGGAUCAGCGUGCCACGGUGAAUACGUUCCCGGGUCUUGUACACACC